AUUUGCUUCCUAACAACUUUGCUGUAAAAUUGAGGGAUCAUUGUUUGGUGAGUUGUUUUAGGUUAUUUCAGUUGGUGUGAUUUCAUUUAGUUAGCCUACUAAUCCUGAAAAUUUCUUGAAUCCUUCAAAUAAUGGCUGUCACCAUUUAUAGCUUUCCUAUAGAAGGAAUUCAUGUGUCCCCUGGUUGACUUAAGGACCAAGGGUCGAACUGCUCGAUAAGUGGAUUAGCAGGCGUUUCCUCUUUGACUUCCAGCCAUGUAAAUUGAACUUAAUGUUUUGCUGACCAUAAAUGUGUGGCCCUAGCAAUGGUCUUUUAAAACUCAGGAUUUUUCCUUUCUCUCUCCUAUUAUUAGACUUAUUCGUCUAAUGGAAGAGAUCAUGAGUGAGAAGGAGAAUAAAACCAUUGUUUUUGUGGAAACCAAAAGAAGAUGUGAUGAGCUUACCAGAAAAAUGAGGAGAGAUGGGUAUGUGUGAGCUCCUCCAUUGAAGCAGAUUGAUUAAAACAGCUUAGGAAAGGGCAAACUUGGAUCACGAGCAGUGGAUUUUUUUCAUAUCUGAUAGUGAAUUUAACUUUUUCAUUUCUGGCGAAAUUAAAGAGAUCUGUGACCAAAAGUGGUCAAGCACUGGAGUCUGAGGUUUUCAAUGUGAGUUUAAUAACACAACUUGUCUUUUAACUUAGGUGGCCUGCCAUGGGUAUCCAUGGUGACAAGAGUCAACAAGAGCGUGACUGGGUUCUAAAUGAAUUCAAACAUGGAAAAGCUCCUAUUCUGAUUGCUACAGAUGUGGCCUCCAGAGGGCUAGGUUAGUACAAACUCGCAUUCAUGGCUUGGUUUCCCAGAAGAUCUCCAUUUAACUUUUUUAAAGAAAGUUUAUUGCUUUCUUUAACCUGCAUUUUUUCUAAGUUUUUUUUCACAUAAAGGUGC
Molecule: long non-coding RNA, 923 nt
Filed under: Homo sapiens (human)
Lineage: Eukaryota; Metazoa; Chordata; Mammalia; Primates; Hominidae
Description: non-protein coding lnc-POLG2-1:6
Source: RNAcentral